Molecule: long non-coding RNA, 276 nt
Organism: Rattus rattus (black rat)
Lineage: Eukaryota; Metazoa; Chordata; Mammalia; Rodentia; Muridae
Exons: 3
Source: RefSeq, a predicted model, not a curated record
GUUUUAUGUCAUCCCCACACAGCUAGUGUUAUCUGGGAAGAGAAACCUCAGUUGAGAAGAUGCUUCCAUUAGAUUGCUUGAGAUUAGUGCUGCUCCCAAGAUUGGACAGAGAACAUUCUGUUUGCAGCGGGAAGCAAUUAAUGCAGAGAUCCGGAAUUUUUAGAGCACCCCGUGACCCUUGUGAUGGCAGACACAAGUCACACACAUUCAUGCAAACCUGUAGAAUGGAUGGCAACAAGAGUGAAGCAUGGAUUCUAGAUGGGAGUGACAUACCAA